This 70-nucleotide small nuclear RNA is filed under the name Salvator merianae (Argentine black and white tegu). The record is from RNAcentral. Lineage: Eukaryota; Metazoa; Chordata; Lepidosauria; Squamata; Teiidae.
CUUGCAGAGAAGAUUAGCAUGGUCCCUGCACAAGGAUAAUAUGCAGAUUUGUGAAGCGUUCCAAAAGUGG